RNAcentral lists this long non-coding RNA (204 nucleotides) under Sorghum bicolor (sorghum). Its description in RNAcentral is "long non-coding RNA (SBIC_LNC004209)". Lineage: Eukaryota; Viridiplantae; Streptophyta; Magnoliopsida; Poales; Poaceae. The record is from RNAcentral.
ACAAAAGCGAGUAGUAAUGCACAAUACUCCCUCUAUGCAUAAAAUGCUUUUUAGGAAACAAAAACAACAUGACCACAAAAUACAUUUUAAGAGAGAUUUAUUCACGAAACCUUAAUAAAGUGGACCUCUAUAUUCAAAAUGUUGUUGUGGGUAGAGGAAGUAUUUUAAAAUUCAAAUAUCAUAAAAAAGAAAUAAGUCUAAAGG